GGAAUGGGUGGCGGGAUGAGUAGGAAGAAUCCCCGGCCAUAGAGGAGCAAAAGGGAGGCCAAUGAUAUUAACGAUAAAUGAACUUGCUGUCGCUGCGCUUGCUCCCGCCAUUGCUGAUCUGAGGUGUGUGGGUAACCUUAGGUCAUCAGUCACCGAAGAACUCAAAUCGCUUUCACUCCAUAGCCCCGGCGUCGGCCGCGGUGAUGGCAGAGAGAUUCUAGCGGUGAAGAAGGAGUAUGAGGCAACCCGAUUUGCUAACGUGAGGAAGAAGAAAUUCAAGCGGUUGGAGAGAGUGAGGGGACGGUUGAUCAACAUUCCUCGAUGGUCUUGAACUCCACACAGGCGUCUUCUCCACCGUCGAGCAGCGGAAGAUCGUCGAUUGCAUCUAUGAUUUCCAGGAAAAGUGGCGCAGCUUAGAGAGCGCACAUAUUUAAAGCCUAGAAAGUGAAUGUGAGGUAAAGGGCGUGUCACUAUACAGUUUGGUUGUUGUUACAAUUAUUCAGUGGAUAGUAAUGGGAAUCCCCCUAGUAUAGUCCGUCAUGAAGAAGUCGAUCCUACCUUUAUUGAAACAAAUGAUCAAAAGGAUGGUGGCUUGGCAUGUUCUCCCGCCUACAUUCUCUUUAGGUGAUUGGGUGCCCCACAGAAUGUGUUGUGGGCACAAUUUAUUGACAUUGUAAUGAAAACUCUACUAUAAAGCAAGAGAUGUACAUUUGAAAUAGAAUAGAUGUGGUGGAAGUAGCAUAGUUUUGCACCACAUUGUAGCUUUUUUCUUAGAGAUUGAUAAGAUAGUUGCUUCUCAUUUAUAAUAGAAAAGAUGG
Molecule: long non-coding RNA, 818 nt
Organism: Phalaenopsis equestris
Lineage: Eukaryota; Viridiplantae; Streptophyta; Magnoliopsida; Asparagales; Orchidaceae
Exons: 3
Source: RefSeq, a predicted model, not a curated record